GCCUGGUGACGGAUUAGGUGCUUGGUAGCUGGUGAUGGAUUAGGCUUUGGUGAUGGUGAUGGAUUAGGCAUUUGGUAACUGGUGAUGGAUAAGGUUUUUGGUGACUGGUGAUGGAUUAGGCUUUUGGUGACUGGUGAUGGAUUAGAGAUUUAGUGACAUGUAAAAUGGCAUGCUAGUUAUUAGAUAAUUAGAUAUUAUGUUAAGGUGGGUUUAUGUGAAAUUCCAGUGCAA
Molecule: non-coding RNA, 231 nt
Organism: Pelobates cultripes (western spadefoot toad)
Lineage: Eukaryota; Metazoa; Chordata; Amphibia; Anura; Pelobatidae
Source: the annotation of a GenBank genome assembly